UGGAAAGAAGAGAAAGAAAAGCCCUGGAAGUUCAGAAACUAGCUGGCCUGGCAGACACAGCGAAAAACAGAGGCCGAUCUCAAACAUGGUGGCAGGCUGAAGAGGAGGACCUAAAGCUGAAAUAGUGAAGACCUUCGAGGAACAUCAGAAAUGGCUACAACUCAGGAAACCAUCCUGCAGUGAGGCCGCUGGGCUCCUUCAUGAAGGGCCCUACCCACCAGAUUGGGCAGAAAACUUGGCUUUAAGAAAUUCAGACUCUCAAGUUGAGUAAACUUUUUUUCCUGAGUCCUGUUUAAAGUCCUCCCGGCUGUGGGGCAGCCUCAGUGUGGAGCUCAGAAAAGGCUUCCAGGGCCCACCGCAGACAACAACGAUCCUGUGUCCUAGAACGUCUGCCUUACCUAGAUGGGUCUGUGUGCUGCGGAGCUUCCUCGCCUCACCUCGGCCUGGCUUUGAUCCAAACCAUUCCAGAGCAGCUCGGCCUUUGGUGACAGUGCCAUCAUUUCUCCCGGGAUGAUGCUCUCCCCAGCCAUCUGGCAGGGACAUAGAUUCUAUGGCAUGCCUCUGGAGGUCAGGCAUAACUCGAGGAAGUCAGUUUUUCUCUUCCUACUUGUGGGACCCAAGGACAGAACUCAGGUCAUCAGCUCAGCCAUCUUACUGGCCCAGAAGAUACAGUCUUAAAUGAUGAAUGGGUUAAUGAAGACAGCAAGGAGGAAAUUGAAAACUGCCUAAGAAUCAAACAACUUACCAGAACCUUUGUGAUACAGCAAAGGCAGUUCUGGAAAUAAAGCUUACAGCAAUGCAUGUUUAUAUGAAAAACCUGGAGAAAGCGCAAAUAAAU
This is a long non-coding RNA of Meriones unguiculatus (Mongolian gerbil), 838 nucleotides long. RefSeq lists it as uncharacterized. The record is from RefSeq and is a predicted model, not a curated record. The transcript is spliced from 3 exons. Lineage: Eukaryota; Metazoa; Chordata; Mammalia; Rodentia; Muridae.